UACGGAGGGUGCGAGCGUUGUUCGGAAUCACUGGGCGUAAAGCGCGUGUAGGCGGCCCACUAAGUCUGAUGUGAAAGCCCGGGGCUCACCCCCGGAAGUGCAUUGGAAACUGGUGGACUCGAGUCCCGGAGAGGAGAGUGGAAUUCCUGGUGUAGCGGUGAAAUGCGUAGAUAUCAGGAGGAACACCGGUGGCGAAGGCGGCUCUCUGGACGGUGACUGACGCUGAGGCGCGAAAGCGUGGGGAGCGAACAGG
This 253-nucleotide ribosomal RNA is filed under the name uncultured bacterium. RNAcentral describes it as "partial 16S ribosomal RNA". It matches the Rfam family "Bacterial small subunit ribosomal RNA", at positions 524 to 776 of the family's 1533-position model. The record is from RNAcentral.